RNAcentral lists this ribosomal RNA (405 nucleotides) under uncultured bacterium. RNAcentral's name for it is "partial 16S ribosomal RNA". It matches the Rfam family "Bacterial small subunit ribosomal RNA", at positions 28 to 526 of the family's 1533-position model. The record is from RNAcentral.
GACGAACGCUGGCGGCGUGCUUAACACAUGCAAGUCGAGCGGUGCGGCGAACGGGUGUGUAACGCGUUAGUAACUGCCCCCCUCUCUGGGAUAACAGUUGGAAACGGCUGCUAAUACCGGAUAGUGGGGGAUGACUCGGGUCCAAUCAGAUUGUUGGUGGGGUGGUGGCAUACCGAGGCGACGACGGGUAGCCGGCCUGAGAGGGGGACCGGCCACAUUGGGCAGAGAGACGGCCCAGACUCCUACGGGGGGCAGCGGUGGGGAAGAGUGCACAAUGGGGGAAACCCUGAUGGAGCAACGCCGCGUGCGGGAUGACGGCCUUCGGGUUGUAAACCGCUUUCAGCCAUGACGCGGUAGUGGCAGAAGAAGCACCGGGUAACUACGUGCCAGCAGCCGCGGUAAUUC